Molecule: small nucleolar RNA, 105 nt
Organism: Malus domestica (apple)
Lineage: Eukaryota; Viridiplantae; Streptophyta; Magnoliopsida; Rosales; Rosaceae
Source: RefSeq, a predicted model, not a curated record
ACCCAAAUGUGGACAUUUUCUAAUCAACUCUUUGAACCAUUCCCACGCAUCAUGAAACUCCUCAUUUGGCUUUUGGGCAAAAGAUAAAAUCUGAGUUCUCAUGUC